This 2405-nucleotide ribosomal RNA is filed under the name marine metagenome. Its description in RNAcentral is "bacterial LSU rRNA". It matches the Rfam family "Bacterial large subunit ribosomal RNA", at positions 14 to 2410 of the family's 2925-position model. The record is from RNAcentral.
AGGGCGUAUGGUGAAUGCCUUGGUAUCAACAGCCGAUGAAGGACGUGGCAAGACUGCGAUAAGCCUCGCAAAGCUGUCUAGCAAGCUUAAGCGGGGAUUUCCGAAUGGGGAAACCCAGUUCAUGUAAUGAUGAACUACAUUCAACUGAACACAUAGGUUGAAAUGAGGUAAGUGCGGGAACUGAAACAUCUAAGUACCGCGAGGAAAAGAGAUUAUUCCCUUAGUAGCGGCGAGCGAAAAGGGAUCAGCUCAAACCGUUUCUUUAUGAAGCGGUGUUGUAGGACCAGUUGCACGGAGUUACAAAUUAGUUAGAUAGAUGAAUAUUCUGGAAAGAAUAGCCACAGAAGGUGAAAGCCCUGUAAUUGAAAUUUAACUAACUCCAACUGAGUUCCUGAGUAGCAUGGGUUAAGUGAAAUCCUGUGUGAAUCUAGGGAGACCACUCUCUAAAGCUAAAUACUGUUGAUGACCGAUAGUGGACAAGUACCGUGAGGGAAAGGUGAAAAGUACCCCGGAAGGGGAGUGAAAUAGUUUCUGAAACCAUAUGCUUACAAGCAGUCGAAGCUCAAUUUAUUGAGUGACGGCGUGCCUAUUGAAGAAUGAUCCGGCGAGUUACGAUUAAUGGCAAGGUUAAGCGAUGAAGAUCGUGGAGCCAAAGCGAAAGCAAGUCUGAAUAGGGCGUUGAGUCGUUAGUUGUAGACCCGAAACCUAGUGAGCUACCCAUGUGCAGGGUGAAGCGAGGGUAAAACCUCGUGAAGGCCCGAACCUUCUAGCGUUGCAAAGCUAUUGGAUGACGUGUGGGUAGAGGUGAAAUGCUAAUCGAACUAGGAGAUAGCUGGUUCUCCCCGAAAUGCGUUUAGGCGCAGCCUCAAGUGUUCUGUAAUGGAGGUAGAGCUCUGGUUGGACUAGGGGGCAUAACGCUUACCAAAUCCAUCCAAACUGCGAAUGCCAUUACACUAGAACUUGGGAGUGAGACUACGAGGGCUAAGCUUCGUGGUCGAAAGGGAAACAGCCCAGAUCUUCAGCUAAGGUCCCUAAAUCCAUGCUAAGUGGGAAAGGAUGUUUGAUCGCUCAGACAGCCAGGAUGUUGGCUUAGAAGCAGCCACCAUUUAAAGAGUGCGUAAUAGCUCACUGGUCAAGUAGUUGAGCGCCGACAAUGUAACGGGGCUUAAGCAUGGUACCGAAGCUAAGACAUUUUGUUUACAAAAUGGGUAGGGGAGCGUUCUGUUUUCACUGAAGUCAGAGAAGUGAUUCCUGGUGGAGGAAACAGAAGUGAGAAUGCCGGAAUGAGUAGCGUAAUCCAGGUGAAAAACCUGGACGCCGAAAGCCCGAGGUUUCCUACGUAAAGUUAAUCUGCGUAGGGUUAGGCGGGCCUAAGUCGAGGUCGAAAGACGUAGACGAUGGACAGCAGGUUAGUAUUCCUGCCCCACCAAAGGCGUGUUAUGCAAAGGGAUGACCCAGGAGGAUAGGUGUAUCGAACCAAUGGACAUGGUUCGUUCUUUAAUCGUAGGCGUCUGAGAGCAGGCAAAUCCACUCUCAGGUUAAGCGGAGGAUUAGAGAGAAGUGGAGACGUCAGUCAAAGCGACUAUGCUGAAUCCAUGCUGGCUAGAAAAGUCUCGUUGUUAGUGCUUUUGGUGUCCGUACCGUAAACCGACACUGGUGGGCGACGAUAAGUAUCGUAAGGCGAUCGAGAGAACCUUCGUUAAGGAACUCGGCAAAUUAGCUCCGUAACUUAGGGAUAAGGAGCGCCUUUAAUGGUGAUCAAACUUGCUUUGUGAGCUAUUGAAGGUCGCAGUGAGCAGGCUCAGGCGACUGUUUAACAAAAACACAGGUCUCUGCUAACCAGAAAUGGGAUGUAUAGGGGCUGACGCCUGCCCAGUGCCGGAAGAUUAAGGGGAUUGCUUAACGGCUUGAACUUAAGUCCCGGUGAACGGCGGCCGUAACUAUAACGGUCCUAAGGUAGCGAAAUUCCUUGUCGGGUAAGUUCCGACCCGCACGAAUGGCGUAACGAUCUGAGCACUGUCUCGACGAAGGACUCGGCGAAAUUGCAUUGUGCGUGAAGAUGCGCACUACCUGCAGCUGGACAAAAAGACCCCGUGGAGCUUUACUGCAACUUGGCGUUGGAGGCUGGUCGUUGAUGCGUAGGAUAGGUGGGAGGCUUUGAUUUAAUGGUUUCGGUCAUUAAUGAGCCGUUGGUGAAAUACCACUCUUCUGCGUUUAUCCUCCUAACUUGUGUGCAAGCAUGAGAACAGCGUCUGGUGGGCAGUUUGACUGGGGCGGUCGCCUCCUAAAGAGUAACGGAGGCGUGCAAAGGUUCCCUCAAGGUGGAUGGCAAUCACCUUUUGAGCAUAUUGGUAUAUGGGAGCUUGACUGCGAGACAGACACGUCGAGCAGGGACGAAAGUCGGC